Molecule: transfer RNA, 74 nt
Filed under: Cyclobacteriaceae bacterium
Lineage: Bacteria; Pseudomonadati; Bacteroidota; Cytophagia; Cytophagales; Cyclobacteriaceae
Description: tRNA-Gln
Rfam family: tRNA
About the family: Transfer RNA (tRNA) molecules are approximately 80 nucleotides in length. Their secondary structure includes four short double-helical elements and three loops (D, anti-codon, and T loops).
Source: RNAcentral
UGCCGGGUGGUCUAACGGUAUCAAGAUAUUUCGCUUUGACCGAAAAGAUGAAGGUUCGAUUCCUUCCCCGGCGA